RNAcentral lists this ribosomal RNA (467 nucleotides) under uncultured bacterium. RNAcentral's name for it is "partial 16S ribosomal RNA". It matches the Rfam family "Bacterial small subunit ribosomal RNA", at positions 28 to 506 of the family's 1533-position model. The record is from RNAcentral.
GACGAACGCUGGCGGCGUGCUUAACACAUGCAAGUCGAACGGAAAGGCCCUGCUUUUGUGGGGUGCUCGAGUGGCGAACGGGUGAGUAACACGUGAGUAACCUGCCCUUGACUUUGGGAUAACUUCAGGAAACUGGGGCUAAUACCGGAUAGGAGCUCCUGCUGCAUGGUGGGGGUUGGAAAGUUUCGGCGGUUGGGGAUGGACUCGCGGCUUAUCAGCUUGUUGGUGGGGUAGUGGCUUACCAAGGCUUUGACGGGUAGCCGGCCUGAGAGGGUGACCGGCCACAUUGGGACUGAGAUACGGCCCAGACUCCUACGGGAGGCAGCAGUGGGGAAUAUUGCACAAUGGGCGGAAGCCUGAUGCAGCAACGCCGCGUGCGGGAUGACGGCUUUCGGGUUGUAAACCGCUUUCGCCUGUGACGAAGCGUGAGUGACGGUAAUGGGUAAAGAAGCACCGGCUAACUACGU